UACAGAGGUCUCAAGCGUUGUUCGGAUUCAUUGGGCGUAAAGGGUGCGUAGGCGGCGCGGUAAGUCGGGUGUGAAAUCUCGGAGCUUAACUCCGAAACUGCAUUCGAUACUGCCGUGCUUGAGGACUGGAGAGGAGACUGGAAUUUACGGUGUAGCGGUGAAAUGCGUAGAUAUCAGGAGGAACACCGAUGGCGAAGGCAGGUCUCUGGGCCGCAACUGACGCUGAGGAGCGAAAGCAUGGGGAGCGAACAGG
RNAcentral lists this ribosomal RNA (253 nucleotides) under uncultured bacterium. RNAcentral's name for it is "partial 16S ribosomal RNA". It matches the Rfam family "Bacterial small subunit ribosomal RNA", at positions 524 to 776 of the family's 1533-position model. The record is from RNAcentral.